This 466-nucleotide ribosomal RNA is filed under the name Vreelandella stevensii. RNAcentral describes it as "partial 16S ribosomal RNA". It matches the Rfam family "Bacterial small subunit ribosomal RNA", at positions 338 to 795 of the family's 1533-position model. Lineage: Bacteria; Pseudomonadati; Pseudomonadota; Gammaproteobacteria; Oceanospirillales; Halomonadaceae. The record is from RNAcentral.
CCUACGGGUGGGCAGCAGUGGGGAAUAUUGGACAAUGGGCGAAAGCCUGAUCCAGCCAUGCCGCGUGUGUGAAGAAGGCCUUCGGGUUGUAAAGCACUUUCAGUGGGGAAGAAAGCCUUGGGGCUAAUACCCUCGAGGAAGGACAUCACCCACAGAAGACGCACCGGCUAACUCCGUGCCAGCAGCCGCGGUAAUACGGAGGGUGCGAGCGUUAAUCGGAAUUACUGGGCGUAAAGCGCGCGUAGGCGGUCUGAUAAGCCGGUUGUGAAAGCCCCGGGCUCAACCUGGGAACGGCAUCCGGAACUGUCAGGCUAGAGUGCAGGAGAGGAAGGUAGAAUUCCCGGUGUAGCGGUGAAAUGCGUAGAGAUCGGGAGGAAUACCAGUGGCGAAGGCGGCCUUCUGGACUGACACUGACGCUGAGGUGCGAAAGCGUGGGUAGCAAACAGGAUUAGAUACCCCGGUAGUC